This 269-nucleotide ribosomal RNA is filed under the name uncultured prokaryote. RNAcentral describes it as "partial 16S ribosomal RNA". It matches the Rfam family "Bacterial small subunit ribosomal RNA", at positions 524 to 792 of the family's 1533-position model. The record is from RNAcentral.
CACGGAGGGAGCAAACGUUGUUCGGAAUCACUGGGCGUAAAGGGCGCGUAGGCGGCUUCCUAAGUCGGCGGUGAAAUCCUGUGGCUCAACCACAGGCCUGCCCCCGAAACUGGGGAGCUUGAGGCCGUGAGAGGAAAGCGGAAUUCCUGGUGUAUCGGUGAAAUGAGUUGAUAUCAGGAGGAACACCGGUGGCGAAGGCGGCUUUCUGGUGCGGUUCUGACGCUGAGGCGCGAAAGCAUGGGGAGCAAACGGGAUUAGAUACCCCCGUA